ACGGGUGAGUAAUGCAUCGGGAUCUACCCUGACGUGGGGGAUAACCUCGGGAAACCGGGACUAAUACCGCAUACGUCCUACGGGAGAAAGCGGGGGACCUUUUAGGCCUCGCGCGGCAGGACGAACCGAUGUGCGAUUAGCUAGUUGGCGGGGUAAUGGCCCACCAAGGCGACGAUCGCUAGCUGGUCUGAGAGGAUGAUCAGCCACACUGGGACUGAGACACGGCCCAGACUCCUACGGGAGGCAGCAGUGGGGAAUAUUGGACAAUGGGCGCAAGCCUGAUCCAGCAAUGCCGCGUGUGUGAAGAAGGCCUUCGGGUUGUAAAGCACUUUUAUCAGGAGCGAAAUCUGCAUGCUUAAUACGUGUGCAGUCUGACGGUACCUGAGGAAUAAGCACCGGCUAACUUCGUGCCAGCAGCCGCGGUAAUACGAAGGGUGCAAGCGUUAAUCGGAAUUACUGGGCGUAAAGGGUGCGUAGGCGGUUCGUUAAGUCUGUCGUGAAAUCCCCGGGCUCAACCUGGGAAUGGCGAUGGAUACUGGCGAGCUAGAGUGUGUCAGAGGAUGGUGGAAUUCC
Molecule: ribosomal RNA, 573 nt
Filed under: Rhodanobacter sp. StRD750
Lineage: Bacteria; Pseudomonadati; Pseudomonadota; Gammaproteobacteria; Lysobacterales; Rhodanobacteraceae
Description: bacterial SSU rRNA
Rfam family: Bacterial small subunit ribosomal RNA
Source: RNAcentral